GGUAAAGUGGCUGAAUAUAAGCGGUAAAUUGUAAAUUUAUAGAUGAACUUAGGUUCCUUUAUCA
This 64-nucleotide transfer RNA is filed under the name Curculionoidea sp. 7 KM-2017. RNAcentral's name for it is "tRNA-Tyr". It matches the Rfam family "tRNA". Rfam says of the family: Transfer RNA (tRNA) molecules are approximately 80 nucleotides in length. Their secondary structure includes four short double-helical elements and three loops (D, anti-codon, and T loops). The record is from RNAcentral. Lineage: Eukaryota; Metazoa; Arthropoda; Insecta; Coleoptera.